CSWKUUYUWRCUMMRSCGAGAUGCYUURGUGCCUUCGGGAACYSUGAGACAGGUGCUGCAUGGCUGUCGUCAGCUCGUGAGKGRAAUGUUGGGUUAAGUCCCGCAACGAGCGCAACCCUUAUCCUUUGUUGCCAGCGAUUCGGUCGGGAACUCAAAGGAGACUGCCAGUGAUAAACUGGAGGAAGGUGGGGAUGACGUCAAGUCAUCAUGGCCCUUACGAGUAGGGCUACACACGUGCUACAAUGGCAUAUACAAAGAGAAGCGACCUCGCGAGAGCAAGCGGACCUCAUAAAGUAUGUCGUAGUCCGGAUUGGAGUCUGCAACUCGACUCCAUGAAGUCGGAAUCGCUAGUAAUCGUGGAUCAGAAUGCCACGGUGAAUACGUUCCCGGGUCUUGUACACACCGA
Molecule: ribosomal RNA, 406 nt
Filed under: Klebsiella sp. 90(2012)
Lineage: Bacteria; Pseudomonadati; Pseudomonadota; Gammaproteobacteria; Enterobacterales; Enterobacteriaceae
Description: partial 16S ribosomal RNA
Rfam family: Bacterial small subunit ribosomal RNA
Source: RNAcentral